UAGGUCUAGCAGCAGACAGAAGCAUCAAUUCUGUCAGAGGAGACCGAUACAGUAAAUAUGAGUGUGAAAGCAUUUGAACUUGUCCCAGCAAUAGAGAGGUUGCAAUUGUUAGGUGACAAAGCCAAGACUUCGAUUGAAUGCAUUGAAUGUUGUGGGAAAAAUCUAUACAUUGGAACAAGUGACUGCUUUGUUGUGCAUUUUCUACUUGAGGAGAAGGUUCAACCUAAUGGGAAGAUAUCAUUCACAAGUGAUAAGCAAUCUCACAAGUAUUUAGCUGUU
This is a long non-coding RNA of Anneissia japonica, 279 nucleotides long. RefSeq lists it as uncharacterized. The transcript is spliced from 3 exons. The record is from RefSeq and is a predicted model, not a curated record. Lineage: Eukaryota; Metazoa; Echinodermata; Crinoidea; Comatulida; Comatulidae.